Molecule: ribosomal RNA, 451 nt
Filed under: uncultured bacterium
Lineage: Bacteria
Description: bacterial SSU rRNA
Rfam family: Bacterial small subunit ribosomal RNA
Source: RNAcentral
UACGGGAGGCAGCAGUGGGGAAUAUUGCACAAUGGGCGCAAGCCUGAUGCAGCCAUGCCGCGUGUAUGAAAAGGCCUUCGGGUUGUAAAGUACUUUCAGUCGUGAGGAAGGUGUUAAGGUUAAUAACCUUAGCAAUUGACGUUAGCGACAGAAGAAGCACCGGCUAACUCCGUGCCAGCAGCCGCGGUAAUACGGAGGGUGCGAGCGUUAAUCGGAAUUACUGGGCGUAAAGGGCACGCAGGCGGUUAAUUAAGUUGGAUGUGAAUCCCCGGGCUUAACCUGGGAAUGGCAUUCAAGACUGGUUAGCUAGAGUCUUGUAGAGGGGGUAGAAUUCCAUGUGUAGCGGUGAAAUGCGUAGAGAUGUGGAGGAAUACCGGUGGCGAAGGCGGCCCCUGGACAAAGACUGACGCUCAUGUGCGAAAGCGUGGGGAGCAAACAGGGAUUAGAUACC